Molecule: ribosomal RNA, 497 nt
Filed under: uncultured bacterium
Lineage: Bacteria
Description: partial 16S ribosomal RNA
Rfam family: Bacterial small subunit ribosomal RNA
Source: RNAcentral
GAUGAACGCUGGCGGCGUGCCUAAUACAUGCAAGUCGAGCGAACAGACGAGGAGCUUGCUCCUCUGAUGUUAGCGGCGGACGGGUGAGUAACACGUGGAUAACCUACCUAUAAGACUGGGAUAACUUCGGGAAACCGGAGCUAAUACCGGAUAACAUGUUGAACCGCAUGGUUCAACAGUGAAAGACGGUCUUGCUGUCACUUAUAGAUGGAUCCGCGCCGCAUUAGCUAGUUGGUAAGGUAACGGCUUACCGAGGCAACGAUGCGUAGCCGACCUGAGAGGGUGAUCGGCCACACUGGAACUGAGACACGGUCCAGACUCCUACGGGAGGCAGCAGUAGGGAAUCUUCCGCAAUGGGCGAAAGCCUGACGGAGCAACGCCGCGUGAGUGAAGAAGGUCUUCGGAUCGUAAAACUCUGUUAUUAGGGAAGAACAAAUGUGUAAGUAACUAUGCACGUCUUGACGGUACCUAAUCAGAAAGCCACGGCUAACUACGUG